Molecule: long non-coding RNA, 3101 nt
Filed under: Sus scrofa (pig)
Lineage: Eukaryota; Metazoa; Chordata; Mammalia; Artiodactyla; Suidae
Description: lncRNA (ENSSSCG00050024496.1)
Source: RNAcentral
UUUUUUUUUUUUUUUUUUUUAAUUAAAAUAGAAUCUUUCAAGGGCAGAAGUCUCUCUGCUUCCCCACCUGGGCAAACCCUGCUCUUCCUGAAGGUGACAUGUAAAUAUGUACAAAUGCAGCUUAUCUGCAGGGCUUGCUGGGUGCUGCCUGUAAGGGACGGGGAAGCGCCUCGGUUCUCUUGCUCCCUUCCCGGUGCGUAGUCCCCUCUGAGCUGGAUGACAAAGGUGCAAAUCCCAGCGCUGCCCGUGGGGAACUGGAUGACUCCAGGCAAGACAGUUAAGCUCUUUGGGUCCCGCUUUCACGACCUGUAAUAAGACAACAUCAUAGGCCCGUGGCGGCUUCCGUGAUGAGCGUAUGUACAGCACUGGGAACCCUACCAGGCGCUGCUGUAAUCACGCUGCUGCUGCUGCUGCUGCUGCUGCUGCGAGUUUGCUGUCGUAGGUGUGCUUCUCCAAGUGCGGGAGAACCCGAGUGGGGACAAGGAGCAGCAGGCCGGGGCCCGGGAGGGGCUGUUUGCUGGGCCCAGGAACGAAGGGAAGGAGUUUGCUUGAGAGGCUGUUGUCUGGAAACCAGAGCGAUCCCGCUUAAUCGGAGGCACGCUUGCAAGGGCUCCCGCGUUGGUUAAAACAGAGGUUUUAAUUUACUUCUAUUGGGAAGCCCUUGGUGUCUUCAGGGAGAUAAGAGGAGGUGGUAGGAAACCAGCAGCCCCAGGCUAACAGCCGGGACGGAGGACUGGGGUCGGGGUAGUGUGUGAUCCGCUGCGGGGACGAGCCUGGCGGGGCUUGAGGAUCUUACUUGAGAUCUGCUCCGGGGGUGGGAAGGAACGCUGAGGCCUCCUGUGGCGACUGGUGCAGCCUGUCCAGCUAGGGGAGGCAGCGCUCCGUGGACGGGCAGCUGGCGAAGGGGAGUCUCACCCAGACAAUCUCAGACACGGGAACAGAUCAUGCAAGCAAGCUGCAACCCCGUGUUGAUCCCCGAGUGCUUUUUCUCCCACGGGGCUGCCCAUGCCCUGAGGACUUAAGAACAGACAGAGGCUGGGCCUUUUUCAUCUCUGGAUUUCCAGGGAGGGCUCAAGAAAUACUAGGGGCCUGUGUUAUGCAUGAAUUACAAAUCUGGGAUGACCUAGGAAGUAAAACUUUAAAAUGGGACAGGGGCUGGUGUUCCCAUCAUGGAGCACUACUGGCCUACACCACAGUCACGGCAACGCCAGAUCUGAGCCACAUCUGCGACCUACAUCACAGCUCAUGACAAUGCCAGAUCCUUAACCCACUGAGCAGGACCAGGGAUCGAACCUGUGUCCUCAUAGAUACCAGUCGGUGUCGUCAAUCACUGAGCUCCCAGGGGAACUCCCAUCUCUGCUUAUUGAAUUUGGAUCCUGGGGGGGUGGUGAAUUUCCUUUCCCACCCUCUCCCCACCAUCCAAUUUAAAUAUUACCUCUUGCGAAGGUAAUAUUAAACUAAACUAAAACAAAAUGACCAAACAGUCCAUGUUCAGACUUCUGCUAAUGGAGGGGUGGUUCAGAGCUAAUCUCACCCCCUUGUUCUUCUGAAAUUAUCUCGUUCAGCACCUUGGCAGUUUGGUGCUAUUGAAACACCGCAGGACCCUGACACGCUUUGGGAGGCAUGAAGAUGAGCUGACUGCCCUUCAGACUGGGACCUGGCGGAGCGCCUGUCGUGGCCCAGCGGUAAUGAACCUGACUCGCAUCCAUGAGGACGAGGGUUCGAUCCCUGGCCUCGCUCAGUGGGUUAAGGGUCCGGCGUUGCCGUGAGCGGUGGUGUAGGUCGCAGAUGCGGCUCAGAUCCCGCGUUGCUGUGGCUGUGGUGUAGGCCGGUGGCUGUAGCUCCGAUUAGACCCCCAGCCUGGGAACCUCCAUAUGCUGCGGAUGUGGCCCUUAAAAAAAAAAAAAAAAUUGGUAGCUGGGACUGCGGUUUUCACACAUUGUAGGGUAAAGUUUCACAAAUGGCUUGCUCUGUUGGGGGACAGAGACCUGAAUUUUCCAUAGUGCCAACUAACCAGUGAUGCUUAGUUCAUGUUUGCAGCUUGCUGGACGUGCGGUUAAUUAAAAAGCACUCUUAGUUGCGUGAUUCCACAGAAACUGGCUAGAAUUCCCAGGCGUAUUUUACAAAUGAAAUUAGGUUUUGUGGGAGUCGUAAAAUUAUAUUUGUAUGUCUAUUUCUUUUCAUCUCAAAGGCAAGAAUAAUAUUCUCGAAUCCACUGUUACUUCCUGUCUUUCAUUCAUGCGUUUAUCUUUUCUCUGUAGCUGUGCUGCUGUCUUGUAAGCGGACUCCAGGACUUGUUUAGAGAUCAGAUAAUUUUGUGGACUCUGUCAUCCGAAAAUCCCUUGAUAGGUUUCCAGGUUCUACAUAAUGAGCAAUGUUAAAAAAGAUGCAGACUCUUUGCUUUUCUCAUCGUCUCUUCUUCGCCUUAUUAAGAUCUGCUGAAGAAUAUAUUUCAUGUGGGUUCCCCUGAACAGGAAGCCACAGACAUUCGUGUGUUUGCGCCGCGGCUGUGUGGUGUGGCUGAGGGUGGGAAAAUGUUUCGGAGCCUCCGAAAAUCGAAAUGUACCUGGGAGAGCGCGUGGAAUCGACGCUGCAGGUCUAAUGCUACAAUGCAGUCACAGAUGUGGCGUUUGCAUCUUCAGACGGCCUUCUGUUGAAAGGAGACAGAAUUCCGUUAAAACUGUCGAGUCGGGGUGUGAAUGGCUCUGAGGAAGAAUGGUCUUUGUCCAAGCCCAAAUUCGGAACUAUCACAACUUCAAAAGCCUGUCCUGCAAGUUCCCAGGUGGUUCAGCAGGUUAAGGGUCUGACAUUGUCCCUGCUGUGGCUUGGGACUGGGUCAUGUCUGUCCCUGGCCUGGGAACGUCUGCAUGGUAUGGGCAUGCCCCCCGCCCCUCCCAAAAUCAGCAGAAAUGUUGUCCUGCCUCAGGAGCAGCUGCCACCAGCUGACUUGCUUGUUGGUCACGUGGCGUUCCCUCUGCGUAGAGUGUGGGGUUGGUGCCCGGAGAUGGUAACCCCACUCUCUUCGAGGCAGGGGCUUGGGGAAGAGAGGCUUCUGCCCGGGGCCUAAACGAAGACAUUCUCCUGGGCAAAUUAUAUUAUUG